CCCUUAGAUGUUCUGGGCUGCACGCGCGCUACACUGAUGCACUCAACGAGUUUACGACCUUGCCCGAUAGGGUUGGGUAAUCUUUUUAAAAUGCAUCGUGAUGGGGAUAGAUUAUUGCAGUUAUUAAUCUUCAACGAGGAAUUCCUAGUAAGCGCGAGUCAUCAGCUCGUGCUGAUUACGUCCCUGCCCUUUGUACACACCGCCCGUCGCUCCUACCGAUUGAGUGCUCAGGUGAAUAAUUCGGACUGCAGCAAUGUUUGGAUCCCGAACGUUGCAGCGGAAAGUUUAGUGAACCUUAUCACUUAGAGGAAGGAGAAGUCGUAACA
RNAcentral lists this ribosomal RNA (326 nucleotides) under uncultured eukaryote. Its description in RNAcentral is "partial 18S ribosomal RNA". It matches the Rfam family "Eukaryotic small subunit ribosomal RNA", at positions 1470 to 1796 of the family's 1831-position model. The record is from RNAcentral.